CUCAUCAGUAACCAGUGGAAUCUGAAAAGCAUCUACUGCUUGGAAAAGCACUAAGAGGCCAACAGAUCCAAACCCACCAGCAAAAUCAUGAAGCCAAGCAGCUUUCUCCUCCUCACUCUGAUGGUCUUCUUUUUGUACUCAGGUGAGUAAUAUUUCAUAUUGCAAAAUUUCUCUUUCUUGGAGAGGUGUAGGGACCAAACAGUCCAUAGAUUAUUCAUGUCUUCAGAUGAGUGUAGGAAUGCUCCACCUGUGUUGACUAAAUCCAGUUAAAAUCUCCCUGCAAACCAUUGUGUUCGCUGUCUGAAAGUUUACGGAAGGAGGGGACAUUGUUGUUAAGCAUAGGGACACUGGAGGCAGGGACACACAUCCCCCCAAAACACAUACACACUUGAGCCUUCCCACAUUCAUUUGGGCACUGAAACAUGUGUGUUCUCAAGCUUCUCCUAUAUGAAAUCAUACAUGCUAGAAAGAACCAGAAUGAAUGUCUUGCUAUGUGAGAUUUACUCUAUCAAAUAAAGAUACUCUCCAUCAGGGCUCUACACUACACAAUGUGCCCACCACUAUUCACACAAUAGGAGCCUUUUUGAAAGCUGAGGCUCAAAACACUAAUGCCCCCUGAAGCUACCAUGUACCCUCCGUUCUUCAUGGUCUCCACGUGGCUCUUGUGACAUAAAAAGUGGACCUAGCCAUGAUUCUAAACACGCAAAGCACCACAGCCGGGCUUUCAAGGGAAAUCAGCAGAACUGGGUCCCAGUUAGUUUAUGGAUUAAACCAGUAUAUACAGUUAUUUGUAUUUAGUGUAGUUAACGGACUGAACCAUUUCCCAUUGAUUUGAUUGUCUUCCUAUCCAUGCUCAGUGACAUUUAAAGGAAAUUGUAUAUUGCCAAGGCAAAUUAUAGAUGCAUUUUUAGGAUAAAAGAUACAGUGCAUCUCACUUUUCAGUUCCUAGAAAUUGUUGUUGUUUAGUCGUUUAGUCGUGUCCGACUCUUCGUGACCCCAUGGACCAGAGCACGCCAGGCACUUCUGUCUUCCACUGCCUCCCGCAGUUUGGUCAAACUCAUGCUGAUAGCUUCGAGAACACUAUCCAACCAUCUUGUCCUCUGUCGUCCCCUUCUCCUUGUGCCCUCAAUCUUUCCCAACAUCAGGGUCUUUUCCAGGGAGUCUUCUCUUCUCAUGAGGUGGCCAAAGUAUUGGAGCCUCAGCUUCGCGAUCUGUCCUUCCAGUGAGCACUCAGGGCUAAUUUCCUUAAGAAUGGAUGCGUUUGAUCUUCUUGCAGUCCAUGGGACUCUCAAGAGACUCCUCCAGCACCAUAAUUCAAAAGCAUCAAUUCUUCAGCGAUCAGCCUUCUUUAUGGUCCAGCUCUCACUUCCAUACAUCACUACUGGGAAAACCAUGGCUUUAACUAUACGGACCUUUGUUGGCAAGGUGAUGUCUCUGCUUUUUAAGAUGCUGUCUAGGUUUACCAUUGCCUUUCUCCCAAGGAGCAGGUGUCUUUUAAUUUUGUGACUGCUGUCACCAUCUGCAGUGAUCAUGGAGCCCAAGAAAGUAAAAUCUCUCACUGCCUCCAUUUCUUCCCCUUCUAUUUGCCAGGAGGUGAUGGACCCAGUGGCCAUGAUCUUCGUUUUUUUGAUGUUGAGCUUCAGACCAUAUUUUGCGCUCUCCUCCUCUUUCACCCUCAUUAAAAGGUUCUUUAAUUCCUCCUCACUUUCUGCCAUCAAGGUUGUGUCAUCUGCAUAUCUGAGGUUGUUGAUAUUUCUUCCGGUGAUCUUAAUUCCAGCUUGGGAUUCAUCCAGCCCAGCCUUUCGCAUGAUGAAUUCUGCAUAUAAGUUAAAUAAGCAGGGGGACAAUAUACAGCCUUGCCGUACUCCUUUCCCAAUUUUGAACCAAUCAGUUGUUCCGUAUCCAGUUCUAACUGUAGCUUCUUGUAGCCACUGCUGAGUUUUCCAAACUUGCUGGCAUAUUGAGUGUAGCACCUUAAUAGCAUCAUCUUUUAAAAUUUUAAAUAGUUCAGCUGGAAUACCAUCACUUCCACUGGCCUUGUUAUUUGCAGUGCUUUCUAAGGCCCAUUUGACUUCACUCUCCAGGAUGUCUGGCUCAAGGUCAGCAACCACACUACCUGGGAUGUACGAGCCAUCCUUAUCUUUCUGGUAUAAUUCCUCUGUGUAUUCUUGCCACCUCUUCUUGAUGUCUUCUGCUUCUGUUAGGUCCUUUCCAUUUUUGUCUUUUAUUAUGGUAAUCUUUGUACGAAAUGUUCCUUUCAUCACUCCAGUUUUCUUGAACAGAUCUCUGGUUCUUCCCAUUCUGUUGUUUUCCUCUAUUUCUUUGCAUUGCUCGUUUAAGAAGGCCUUCUUGUCUCUCCUUGCUAUUUUAUUGAACUCUGCAUUCAGUUUCCUGUAUCUUUCACUAUCUCCCUCGCAUUUUGCUUGCCUUCUCUCCACCGCUAUUUGUAAGGCCUCGUUGGACAGCCACUUUGCUUUCUUGCAUUUCCAUUUCAUUGGGAUGGUUUUCGUUGCUGCCUCCUGUAUAAUGUUGCGAGUUUCCAUCCAUAGUUCUUCUGGCACUCUGUCCACCAAAUCUAAAUCCUUAAACCUGUUCCUCACUUCCACUGUGUAUUCAUAAGGGAUUUGACUUAGAUUGUAUCUUACUGGCCCAGUGGUUUUUCCUACUUUCUUCAGUUUAAGCUUGAAUUUUGCUAUAAGAAGCUGAUGAUCUGAGCCACAGUCAGCUCCAGGUCUUGUUUUUGCUGACUGUAUAGAGCUUCUCCAUCUUUGGCUGCAGAGAAUAUAAUCAAUCUGAUUUCGAUGCUGCCCAUCUGGUGAUGUCCAUGUGUAGAGUCGUCUCUUGUGUUGUUGGAAAAGAGUGUUUGUGAUGACCAGCUUGUUCUCUUGGCAGAACUCUAUUAGCCUUUGCCCUGCUUCGUUUUGAACUCCAAGGCCAAACUUGCCAGUUGUUCCUUUUAUCUCUUGACUCCCUACUUUAGCAUUCCAAUCCCCUAUAAUGAGAAGAACAUCCUUCUUUGGUGUCAAUUCUAUAAGGUGUUGUAAGUCUUCAUAGAAUUGGUCAGUUUCAGUUUCUUCAGCACCAGUGGUUGGUGCAUAAACUUGGAUUAUUGUGAUGUUAAAAGGUCUACCUUGGAUUCGUAUCGAGAUCAUUCUAUCAUUUUUGAGAUUGCAUCCCAAUACCGCUUUUGCCACUCUUUUGUUGACUAUGAGGGCCACUCCAUUUCUUUUACGGGAUUCUUGCCCACAGUAGUAGAUAUGAUGGUCAUCCGAACUGAAUUCGCCCAUUCCCGUCCAUUUUAGUUCACUGAUGCCAAGGAUGUCAAUAUUUAUUCUUGCCAUCUCAUUUUUGACCACAUCCAACUUACCAAGGUUCAUGGUUCUUACAUUCCAGGUUCCUAUGCAAUAUUUUUCUUUACAGCAUUGGACUUUCCUUUCGCUUCCAGGCAUAUCCUCAACUGAGCGUCCUUUCGGCUUUGGCCCAGCCGCUUCAUCAGCUCUGAAUCUACUUGUACUUGUCCUCCGCUCUUCCUCAGUAGCAUGUUGGACGCCUUCCGACCUGAGGGGCUCAUCUUCCAGCGUCAUAACUUUUAUAUGCCCUUUGUCUUUGUCCAUGGAGUUUUCUUGGCAGGGAUACUGGAGUGGCUUGCCGGUUCCUGCUCCAGGUGGAUCACAUUUGGUCAAAACUCUCCACUAUGACCUGUCCAUCUUGGGUGGCCCUGCACGGCAUAGCUCAUAGCUUCUCUGAGUUAUUCAAGCCCCUUCGCCACAGCAAGGCAGUGAUCCAUGAAGGGGUAAAUGUUAUCAAAUAGACUAUUAUUCAACAUAUGGAAUUUCUAAAUAAUUUUCACAUUUUCUGUGUUUUGCAUCUAGAUGUUGUUGUGAAAGCAACAUGGGAAGCGGUAAGUGGGAAAUCAUUUAUUCUUAUGAUAGACCAUGGAAGUACCGUGGAGUUAAGAUAAGUGAAUUUAUUUUUCUUGUGGAUUUUAAAAUAUUCUCUCUCUCUCUCUCUCUCUCUCUCUCUCUCUCUCUCUGAACGUUUCUGUGUGUGUCAAUUUUGAAAACAGAAUUUAAAAUACCGGCAACAAAAACACAUUGGCACAAAUAUAACAUACAAGAGUUGGGUUUUUCCCAUGAUUACACAUAUCUAGUCCCAUCCCUUUUUUAAAAAAAGUUGGUGGUAUUAUUAUUAGUUCCAGUUGCUACCCACAAUUUGUAAGAAAGUCUCGGCUUGUGUUCUGUAGUAGCCUACUGGGGUUAUUCUGUUAUUACUAGAUAGACCGCCCAACCUUGCAGGCAUAUUAUUUAGCCACUGUCUUAUGAAUUCAGGCACUCACUGUGUGUUUUUUAAAAGUAUUUAUUUGCAAAAACAACAGUUAAAUGUGUCUAGCAUGAAACCCCUGGAGCUGCCCACUCACAAUUUGGCAGGAUUAAUCUUCUCUGAAGGGACUACCAUGUCUGCAAAUUUUGUUUGGCAGUGUGAAAAACUUUGUGCCUGUUCUAACCCUGCAAUAUUUUAAACUUUAAAGGUGUUUUGCAUGAAAUCCCAGGCACUGAUGAUCUAUAAUUUGACAGGUUUAAGCCCCCGCAAUGGGGCCUUACCAUGUCACCAAAUCAUAUGCCCCAAGUGGGAACUUGGGAUGAAUAGAGAACAACUUUAUCACACAAUUCGCUCCUUGCCAGGACGAUAAAUCAGCAUUUCCCUGUGCUUUAAUGCACACCUUAAUAUAACACUUGUUGAAUUGUCAUUUGCAUUCCUCAUCUUUGCCUCUUUCUUAGGCAUGUGAUAAUCAGAAAGGUCUUCCAGUCCAAAGGUUAAGUGGGGAGGACCUUUAAAACUGUUGUGUCCUUUGUCUUCAGGAAUAUUGCAAAGGAUAUCCAAAACCAGGAUGCACCUUGGAAUACCGUCCCCACUGCGGUUCUGAUGGCAAGACCUAUGGCAACAAGUGUGACUUCUGCAAUGCAUAUAUGUGAGUAUAUCAAAGAAUCAUGCAGUCUAAAGGGACCCCAAGAGUCAUGUAUUCCAACCUCCUGGAGUGCAGGAAUCUUUUUCCCCCUCUCAGACAUCUUUGUUGGAAGUUAAAAAGUACAUGAUUAUAUUUGCACUAAGCAUGGUAGAUGUAAAUAAAAGAACGGAAAAGAAAAAGAGAAUCAGCACCCAUGUAGAAGGGAAAGUCAAGUGGGGGGACACCCCUCUCCUGAGUUUUGUGUUGCUUAUGAGGCCCAAAGGAACAUGGUGAGCAGAGCUAAUCUGUAGGUAGCCCUGAAUUUGAAAAUGGAGUGGAUUGGGAGGGCUAUUCACAUGCACCACCCUCCUGACACUCUUGUUGCUGCUGCUAAGAGUGAUGGGGGGCAGGGGAAAUAUGCCCAGAAGGGCUCUAUUGCCAUCCCACCAGGCCAGCCACAACACAAAAGGUAGUAGGGUUGGCCCAGAAGAAAAAUAACCCAAAAAGCCAUCUGGGAAUUAGGGGAUAAAGGUAAAGGGACCCCUGACCAUUAGGUCCAGUUGUGACCGACUCUGGGGUUGCAGCGUUCAUUUUGCUUUAUUGGCCGAGGGAGCCGGCGUACAGCUUCUGGGUCAUGUGGCCAGCAUGACUAAGCCGCUUCUGGUGAACCAGAGCAGUGCACGGAAACGCCGUUUACUUUCCCGCCGGAGCAGUACCUACUUAUCUACUUGCACUGUGACGUGCUUUUGAACUGCUAGGUUGGCAGGAGCUGGGACCGAGCAACGGGAGCUCACCCCGUCGUGGGGAUUUGAACCGCCGACCUUCUGAUCGGCAAGUCCUAGGCUCUGUGGUUUAACCCACAGCGCCACCCAUGUCCCACAAUUAGGGGAUAGUAAGAACAUUAUUAUGAAGGCCUACAUUACAAAGGCCUACACUAGGUGUUUCCUUAAUGUGGAUCUUGGAAUUGCUCUAGGAAAAGUCUGAACAUUUGCUCCUAGAGAAGUUUGACACAGAUGUACGAUGAAGGCGGGAGAAGGGGGAUCUUCUACAAAUGGUAGACCUGAAAAGAAUAUUGUUCUCUCUUGCUCUAUAUUGGCUAGGCUGACAGGAAGCUGUUUUCCAGGGUCUCAGACAGGAUUCCUCCUCAGCCCUUUCCCAUCCCAAGACAAAGAGCAAUGAUGGCAUAAGCUUUCCCACCUAUAUAGUAUUUCUCUUUAAGGAGUUAUAAUGAAAGCUGCAUCUUAUGAAUUCUCAUAUUUAUUUACUUCUUUUUUUCUCAUCAGCGAAAGUGGAAGAAAGUUGAAACUGAAAUACUAUGGAGAAUGCCAAAAAGCUUAAGAUGCACAUGACUAUGAAACAUCUACAAAAGAAGUCCCAUUUCUCUUUAAGCUUCACUCAUCGCAUCACCACAAAAAAAUCCAUUCUUCUCUUUGCUUAUCCUCUGUGAGCCAGUGAAUAUCUCGCAACAUCUUAAUUCGGUUUAUCAAUAAAUAAGCUCAGCAACAUUAUCAAA
This is a non-coding RNA of Podarcis lilfordi (Lilford's wall lizard), 6458 nucleotides long. NCBI's taxonomy places the organism in Eukaryota, Metazoa, Chordata, Lepidosauria, Squamata, Lacertidae. The record is from the annotation of a GenBank genome assembly.